RNAcentral lists this transfer RNA (76 nucleotides) under Actinomycetota bacterium. Its description in RNAcentral is "Actinobacteria bacterium (freshwater metagenome) tRNA-Met". It matches the Rfam family "tRNA". Rfam says of the family: Transfer RNA (tRNA) molecules are approximately 80 nucleotides in length. The record is from RNAcentral. Lineage: Bacteria; Bacillati; Actinomycetota.
GGGCCGGUAGCUCAAUGGUCAGAGCAGGCGACUCAUAAUCGCUCGGUCGUGGGUUCGAUUCCCACCCGGCCCACGA